UACGUAGGGUGCAAGCGUUGUCCGGAAUUAUUGGGCGUAAAGGGCUCGUAGGCGGUCCAUCGCGUCGGGAGUGAAAAGCUGGGGCUCAACCCCAGUCCUGCUUCCGAUACGGGUGGACUAGAGGUAUGCAGGGGAGAACGGAAUUCCUGGUGUAGCGGUGAAAUGCGCAGAUAUCAUUUGGAACGCCAAUGGGGAAAACAGGUAGCUGGGGCUGAGCUGACACUGAGACACGAAAGCCAGGGGAGCAAACGGG
Molecule: ribosomal RNA, 253 nt
Filed under: uncultured bacterium
Lineage: Bacteria
Description: partial 16S ribosomal RNA
Rfam family: Bacterial small subunit ribosomal RNA
Source: RNAcentral